GUGCUAUUGCUAUUGACUCUGGGUGAUUGUACCUAUCCUAUUUCUUUGCCAGUAUUAUGGAAGUGAUUUAUUCUUUCCUUUCAUUGAAAUGUUUUCCGGUUUCCCAAUUGAGUAGGAGCCAUGGAAUUUCCAGGCUCGCUCACUUUUCCUGCCUUGCUUCGGUGCUGCAAUCAAUUGCAUCCGCUAGCAACUCAAUCUGCCUGCCUGCAAUCAAUCCAAUCGGGGAGCAACUCAAUCUGCCUGCCUGCCUGCCUUGUGCCUUCAAUUUGGCCAAACAGAAGAGCAAUGUUGAUGCUUCUUGAGGGUGACUGUUUUGCCUUCUUCCUCUGUCACAUGAAGCGGACAUGAUAACAUGAAGAUCAGGAAUGGGUGAAAUGUUGGUUGCUUCCAGAAUUGGACCAUCCCUCCUCGAGUGGCCCCCAAGUGGGUUGCUGGCCAGCUCAAGGAAACAGAUCUUAUGGAUGUUCUUGUGGUUGUGCAACAUCAUGUUGUGAGAUUAAGUGACAAACCUAACGUGAUGGAUUUGAAAGAUAGAUUGCAAAACCAAUGUAACCGUGUCUCAUCAGGAUAUUCAAUUAUUUCCUGUGACUUGAACAAAAUUGCGUGCCUCCUCAAGUCACGUUGGACAUGUUAAUCAGUUCGUGACUGAUAAACGCGUUUCUAACAUUACCAAAGAACAACUUUAAAGGCUAGGUUUAAUUAAGUAAUUAUUACUGCUUGCCCCUUUUAUGUAUCAUUUUCCUUCGAUCUUGCAGUUUCCAAACCCACCCUCUCACCCACAUUUGGUAUUUAUUUAUGCUUGCGUAUAAUAUUUUAUGAACUGGAAACAAGUCCACAGAUUAUUGAGUCAUAAUAAAAGUGCUAAGUGCUUAAUGUUCCAGAAUAGAUAAUAAUCAGCCAAGAUAUGAUUAAUAACCCCAAUGCAGAGAUUGAUAGAUAAAGAGACAGAAUAAUAGUUCUGUUAUUCUGUUAGACCAGGGGUGUCAAACUCGAUUUCAUUGAGGACUGCAUCAGGGUUGUGUUUGACCUCGUUUGUGUGUGUGUGGCCUGCUCGACAUCACUCGUGUUGGGGGCGCCUAUGGUGGCCCAAGUGCUCUGCCAGGGAAAACGGGUUCCUGAGCUCCAUUUCCGGCUCUGACAGCCUCCUGAAACCCUCUGCCAGCAAAAACGGAGCCCAGGAGGGCCUUGUGGUGGUCCUUUGCUAUUUCCAGGGUGGCCCCUUAGGCCUGAUCUAAGCACCCCAUGGGCCGUAUCUGGCCCAAGGGCCCUGAGUUUGACACCCCUGUGUUAGACAGACAGAUAUUAACAUGGCUCAGUAUUGAAACAAUAUUAGGGAUGUUAAAUGAAUGUUAUUUGCCCCCUGAAAAUAAAAAUGGCAUUUUGCUGAAAUUAUGUAUGGCUGAUCCUCAGCCCAUCUUUUAGGGCAGGGGUCACCAACCUUUCGGACCUCAGGGACCACCAAAUUCAUAAUUUUAAAUCCCGCAGACCACUAAUAUGGAUUUUUAAAAAGAUAAAUAGUAUUUAGUGCAAUAUAAAAAAUGCAAAUAAUUUUUCUGCGGAUCACUAAAAUUUUCUUACGGACCACCAGUAGUCCACAGACCACCAGUUGGUGACCACUGUUUUAGGGAAAGAACAAUGUGAGCCCUAAGGAUCUUUUCAUUCUUAAAGGGAUCCUGAGAAUCAAACCACCAUGGCAUGAAGACUGCCUGAAGUGCUAGCAGUGGCAUCUUCUCUUUCCAGAUGACCAGGAAAGCUUCAGUUUUGAUGUUCAGGUGCCAUUCCUAUGCCAUCCUUUCUCUGCCUGCUUUCCAGCUCCGAAAUCCAAUCUGUUGUAACAAAAAAAAAAAAAAAAAAA
Pantherophis guttatus is the source of this 1855-nucleotide non-coding RNA. The record is from RefSeq and is a predicted model, not a curated record. NCBI's taxonomy places the organism in Eukaryota, Metazoa, Chordata, Lepidosauria, Squamata, Colubridae.